UAGCAAUACCGAAGGAAGUCUAGCGGCGAACGGGUGCUUAACACGUGGGCAACCUGCCAAGAAGUGGGGGAUAGCUCGCCGAAAGGCGAAUUAAUACCGCAUGUGAUUAGAGAGGACAUCCUUUCGAAAUUAAAGUCGGGGCAACCUGACGCUUUUUGUGGGGCCCGCGGCCUAUCAGCUAGUUGGUGAGGUAACGGCCCACCAAGGCUUUGACGGGUAGCUGGUCUGAGAGGACGACCAGCCACACUGGGACUGAGACACGGCCCAGACACCUACGGGUGGCAGCAGUCGAGAAUUUUUGACAAUGGGGGAAACCCUGAUCGAGCGACGCCGCGUGGAGGAUGAAGGUCUUCGGAUUGUAAACUCCUGUCAUUGGGGAACAAGGUGCAUACGUUAACUGCGUGUGCAUUGAUAGUACCCGAAGAGGAAGAGACGGCUAACUCUGUGCCAGCAGCCGCGGUAAUACAGAGGUCUCAAGCGUUGUUCGGAUUCAUUGGGCGUAAAGGGUGCGUAGGCGGCGCGGUAAGUCGGGUGUGAAAUCUCGGGGCUUAACUCCGAAACUGCAUUCGAUACUGCCGUGCUUGAGGACUGGAGAGGAGACUGGAAUUCACGGUGUAGCA
Molecule: ribosomal RNA, 620 nt
Filed under: uncultured Verrucomicrobiota bacterium
Lineage: Bacteria; Pseudomonadati; Verrucomicrobiota
Description: bacterial SSU rRNA
Rfam family: Bacterial small subunit ribosomal RNA
Source: RNAcentral